Molecule: non-coding RNA, 1730 nt
Organism: Tachysurus fulvidraco (yellow catfish)
Lineage: Eukaryota; Metazoa; Chordata; Actinopteri; Siluriformes; Bagridae
Source: the annotation of a RefSeq genome assembly
AUUACUUCUUCUCAAACAUUGUGAAUGCAACAUGAAAAAACAUCACAAACUGUAUUAUUUCUUGGUCAAGACCCACACCAUCUUUAGUAAUAGAAAUGCCCAGGACCAAGACAAGUCCAAGUACAAAUACUAAUAAAUCUGACACAAGUCCAAGUGAAUACAGAAGACGUCUCGAGGCCAGACUCAAGACCUACAACGUUAACUCAUAGGACUGAACCAGUGUAAUUAGCUCACAAGUGUAAAGUGAGUGAAUGGACUGAGAAUACAAAAAUACAUUGAUACUGAAUCUUUAUAUUUUUAUGUUAACAUUAAUAUAAACACUAACAUAUUUCACUCAGUAACACAUUUGAACGUGCUCGUGGUUGCAGCAGGACUUUCACACCUUCAUUGUAUUUUAACAUAAACAGCUCCAUCAUGCAGUAUAAAGCCUGAGACACUAAACUAACACGUUCACCACACACACUUCCUUUAUUUACAGGGACUACAGCAGUCUGAUGGUCAUUACACAAUAAUUCUGUUAUUUUUACACAUUAUUCUUUCUGUGCUGUAGUCAGAGAGUCUAGUUUAAUGACAUGUGUAUGUUUUAGUGCUCCAAACUGAGGAAGUGUGUGUUUCUGACUAAAACUGGUCCAUGUGACCAUCAGAAUACAUGUUACAGCUAAUAGACCAAUCAAAUCAGUCCACAGCUUCAAAUCAUCCAAUCAGGUGUGAGUCUGGACCUGGUUUUGUACUGAACACACAAGUUCAUUAGAUCACUUGGUGUGAACAGGAACGAUGAUCAGACUCGUUGUCGCUCUUUGUGCUCUUUUUUCUCUCUUCACAGCUGUGAAAACUUCUGACAUCAAGGAGAUUGAUGUGAUAACAGUAAAGCGUGGAGAAGAUGUAACUAUGGAGUGUAGCAUUAGCAGUGUCACAAAGAAAGAAGUAGUUUGGUACAGACAGAUUUCAGGAAAAUUACCUCAGUAUUUUGCAAAACCAUACAAUAAAGAAUUGGGCUACAGAUUUAGUGAAGGAUUUAAUGAUGAUCGUUUCAGUAUUAGUGUAAAUGACAAUAAAUUUGAUCUCAAUAUUAAAAAAACAAGAGAAGAUGAUGAAGGAGAAUAUUUCUGUGGAGAAAUGCAAGGAAGUAGAGUGAAGUUCACAUCUGGAACUCGUCUGCAAUUUGAAGACACGACACACAGUAAUACACCUGGAACUACACACAGAGAUUCAUCCAACAGCACAGAAACAUGUUCAGCAGAAUCACAGCAAACCCUGAACAAUAUCAGUCCGUCUGGCUCAGUUUCCCACCGCUGUAUAAUGUUAGACUCCUUCUGAGAGGUCGAGAGACACUUUAGAGAGAUGUAGCGAUGGCAGAUACGGCAAAGGAAAGCCGGCACAGCCAGUGUCGGUCACAUGGGUUCAUCUGACUCAUCUACAUGGAGGUCUACAUGAUGCAGGCACAAGUUAAAAAACAGCAUGUGUCAAAUUUGUCAAUAAUUUAUCAUUUAAGAAGGUUUUUUUUUAAUCAUGCAACAGCUCCCCUUAUGAUUCUGAUCUUUUUUAUUCUGGAGAGUGAGAUCAUUGGGGGAUUAUAACAUGGACUAAUGUACAGGUGGAUACUGAGUUUUAAGCUGAGAUUUAAAAAUGCCAAGAGAUUUUGCUUGCUUUCUCAGUUGGUAAAGAAGUUUUAACUACUUAACUAUAUAUACAGCUGUGUGUCCAUUUUUUUUGUCAGUGUGGCAAAAACA